This is a long non-coding RNA of Ostrea edulis (European flat oyster), 124 nucleotides long. RefSeq lists it as uncharacterized. NCBI's taxonomy places the organism in Eukaryota, Metazoa, Mollusca, Bivalvia, Ostreida, Ostreidae. The record is from RefSeq and is a predicted model, not a curated record. The transcript has 4 exons.
AGGAUCAACGGGCGGUGGUGGCUCUAGUGGUGGAGAUGGUGGAUUCAGCCUUCACUUUGGUACAUCAGCUCCAUCUGGAGGCGGCUCUAUAAUUUCAGGUGGAGGAAGUAUGACAUCAGGUAAA